AUCUGCGCGCCUGUUUCAGGUGCCCCCUGCCGCCGUGCAUGGGGUGAAACGGGAAGCCGGUUCGUCGCCCCAGGGUGAUCAGUCCGGCGCUGCCCCCGCAACGGUAUGCGAGCGAUGCUUUCGACAGACCACUGUGCCACAGGCAUGGGAAGGUGACGGCAUCAUGACCCUCGCGAGCCCGGAGACCGGCCUGAAGCCUUGUUUGGCAA
RNAcentral lists this non-coding RNA (209 nucleotides) under Pseudomonas sp. URMO17WK12:I11. The record is from RNAcentral. Lineage: Bacteria; Pseudomonadati; Pseudomonadota; Gammaproteobacteria; Pseudomonadales; Pseudomonadaceae.